RNAcentral lists this ribosomal RNA (253 nucleotides) under uncultured bacterium. RNAcentral's name for it is "partial 16S ribosomal RNA". It matches the Rfam family "Bacterial small subunit ribosomal RNA", at positions 524 to 776 of the family's 1533-position model. The record is from RNAcentral.
UACGAAGGGGGCUAGCGUUGUUCGGAUUUACUGGGCGUAAAGCGCACGUAGGCGGAUUGUUAAGUCAGGGGUGAAAUCCCGGAGCUCAACUCCGGAACUGCCUUUGAUACUGGCAAUCUUGAGGCUGGAAGAGGUUAGUGGAAUUCCCAGUGUAGAGGUGAAAUUCGUAGAUAUUGGGAAGAACACCAGUGGCGAAGGCGGUUCUCUGGGCCUGUACUGACGCUGAGGAACGAAAGCGUGGGGAGCGAACAGG